GGCUCCAGGCUCUGAGCCUGGCUCUCAGCUAUCAGCAUAGGGCUCGACGUACGGCUCGAAUUCCCUAGCUGUGAAAUCACAACCUGAGCUGAAGUCGGAUGCUCAACUGAACCAUUCAGGUGCCCCUACUGAGAAGAAGUCUUAACACAAAAAUGGCUGGCUGUAUUAAAUUUAUGAUCAGAAUUAUCUAGCACAAUAAACAGUCAUGUGGGCAAAGAACAUUUGCAGGUAUUAAUGGAAGUGGAGGGGAGAGAGAUUGAAGUAUCAAAAUAUACAACAUAGUAACUUUACGCUGAAGUUGCAUUAAAUUUUAGUCACAACACAAAAAUGCCAUGUAUUUUUUGAGUACAUGUAUUAAUUAGUAAGCACUGAUAUUAGCUAUUAUGGGUCAAGCACUUACUGAAGUAGGUAUUCUACUUUUUAUAGAUAAGGAAACCCCAAAGUAAUUUGUCCAAGGCCAUACAGCCAGCAUAUGGGAGAACCCAUGUAUUAUUUUGAUAAUUAUUUUGAAAGUCCUGUCAUGGUAUCAAAACUUUAAGCCAGUAGUUUUAUUUUUAUUAAGGCUUCUAAUUUAUAUCUAAGAAUCAUUUGUAACUAAAAAUUGAAGCAUAUACCUAUGAACAUUUUAGGUUUGACAAACAUUUUGUAACUUGCCCGUUCUUAGUAGACAAAACUAUUUACAAAUUUUAUGUAGUAUGCAUGAACAUAGUCCCGAAUACAAAUAACUGAUUCUUA
Long non-coding RNA from Herpailurus yagouaroundi (jaguarundi), 735 nucleotides. RefSeq lists it as uncharacterized. The transcript is spliced from 3 exons. The record is from RefSeq and is a predicted model, not a curated record. Lineage: Eukaryota; Metazoa; Chordata; Mammalia; Carnivora; Felidae.